RNAcentral lists this ribosomal RNA (434 nucleotides) under uncultured bacterium. RNAcentral's name for it is "partial 16S ribosomal RNA". It matches the Rfam family "Bacterial small subunit ribosomal RNA", at positions 28 to 507 of the family's 1533-position model. The record is from RNAcentral.
GAUGAACGCUGGCGGUAUGCUUAACACAUGCAAGUCGAACGGACUCUUCGGAGUUAGUGGCGGACGGGUGAGUAACGCGUGAGAAUCUGGCUUUGGGUUCGGGACAACACUGGGAACGGGGGCUUAUACCGGAUGUGGCGAGAGGUAAAAGAGAAAUUUCCUGAAGAUGAGCUCGCGUCUGAUUAGCUAGUUGGUUAGGUAAAGGCUCACCAAGGGAGCGAUCAGUAGCUGGUCUGAGAGGAUGACCAGCCAAACUGGGACUGGGACACGGCCCAGACUCAUACGGGAGGAAGCAGUGGGGAAUUUUCCGCAAUGGGCGAAAGCCUGACGGAGCAAUACCGCGUGAGGGAAGAAGGCUCUUGGGUUGUAAACCUCUUUUCUUAGGGAAGAACAAAAUGACGGUACCUAAGGAAUCAGCAUCGGCUAACUCCGUG